Long non-coding RNA from Rhododendron vialii, 523 nucleotides. RefSeq lists it as uncharacterized. The record is from RefSeq and is a predicted model, not a curated record. Lineage: Eukaryota; Viridiplantae; Streptophyta; Magnoliopsida; Ericales; Ericaceae. The transcript has 2 exons.
GUGGAUAGCUAAUUCCCAUGUAUGCCAGCCUUCAAAAGAGGCCUCAAUAUUGCAAUUUCAAAACAGAUGUGUUCAAAUUUCAAAUCUCCUUUGACAUCCCUGCUCUCUACAAGGCAGUCUCAACCCAUCUUAAGAGUAUCAGGCGACUACGACUUCAUUUUCAGCGAUUUCAACUUCGACGGAGUUUCAUGAUGAUCCGGUUGGAAGUGGCGCCGCUGCUACAAACUCUUCUGAAUCGUCAUCGGAGCCAUCUGCCAUUAUCUCUUCCACUCCAAUCGGUGGCAGCUUCACUUAAUUCAACAAUUCUAAAAAAAUCCCCAAGCUGGUAUCAAUGAUCUUGGAGAUGGAGUUAUUGGGUCCUUUGUUAGAUAGCUUAUGUCAAUAGUAAAAUAGAGUAGUUGGUUUAGGUUAGUGUGAGCCUUAGCACAUGCAAUUGUACUAUAGUCAGUUUCUUUGAUUUGUAUUCCCUAACUUAAAAUUGCUUGAUUGUUUUGAAAUUCAAUGCACUAAAUUUUGAUGAUCC